AGAUGAAUCAUUUUGCAUUGGUUGAUGGAAAGCCAUAUCCUUUCGAUAUGAGAGGUGAGUUGGAUGACACUGGUGCUUUCAAGAACUUCAGUAAGUACAUUCACUUUACGUUGUUAUUACCAUGAAUCAUGAGCAUAUGAGCUAACAAAUCCUUUGAAGUUUGAACUAUAUCAGGAAAAGUUUAAGUGUUUGACAAAUCAAAUGAUGGAGCUAAUAUAUUAGAGUAUUUGCAGAAGAUUUGUUCAGUGAUAUUGGGGAAUUUUUGAUUUUGCAGGCUGGAAUUUUGUGUAAUGCGUGCAUUGGUUCAAUUUUCAGGUAUGCAUUUUAGUUGUUUAUUGGAAGAUUGAUGAUGUGUGGUGUUGAUGGAAAAAGUUAUCUGUACUUGACUUUGACUUAUUAAUAAAUCGGUUCUCUGCUAAAGAUAGUAACAAUUGUGUCAAAUUUUUACAAGAAUUUAUGACAGUACACAUUGUUCUGAUUUUUUCCAUUGAGCGUUGCCAAAAACAAUAUCCAAUUGAAUAGUAGGGAGUUCUUUGGUCAAUGAAUUGAGUACAGAAAAUUAGGGAGUUCUUUGGUCACUGUGGACUACAAAUUGGAAACAUUUGGUACUUCAGGUCUAAGAUUUCAAUAGUUUUAGAUAUAGCUUGAGGCCCAAUAUUGAAACAUUGAAAUCUUCAGUGAUCAUUAACUUACAAGGUCUGAUAGGAUUCAGUUCAAAAAGGGUCAUAUUAACAAAGGAAGUUUGGAAACUGACACCUGCAUUUCAAUAUCAAAAUGUAUGUCUAAAGUUUAGAUGAAUAUUAAAUACUUUCGAUUUUGAGUCUUAGCUGCUUGCAUUAUAAUACACGCUCAUUGCAUCCCUUUUUUGUACGUUUUGAUUUAGAUUUAUGCUGCUAUUGGAAAUGUUGGUGGAAGGGAGUUAGCUGUCAUCUUUUUAGUUCUUAUAUUUAUUUAGAACUACUCAGAAGGAUCUGUUUCAGAUGGAAGCAAUAGCUGAUAUUGUUGAUUAUUCAUGAGGGGUAAAAUACUCUUAACAUGUUUACUUAUCGUUUACUAUUUAUUUCAUUUACUGUUUGAAAAUGCUAGAUAUGUUUCUUCCACUGAAAAGUUCUCUGUGACCAGGAGACUACCAAAGGUUGCAGGAAAGUCUACAAUUGAACAUCAAGUUUGGAUAAUGAGUUUCUGAUAAUUUUGAAAUAUAUGUGAGAGCAUUAUAACUUUCAACAACAUUUAAACACUUUAAGACCAUUACUGGUUUUCAUAAAUGUGUUGUGGAGCUAUUCAAAAUAAUGAAGGACAAUAUUGAGCUUGCAGUUUUUGCAGAAGAAUUUUAAUGGGAAAUAUAUAUCAGUGUUGUCAAUGCGUAGGAAACUAUCAUUAAAGCUUUGAAUGGUGUUGAUCAUCCAUCUUUAACAAGUCUCUUCUAUUUACUUUGGCAGCAUUGAAACCCUCCAAUGCUGGUAUCAGGCCUACUUAAUUGUUUGUUCAGUUUCAACUGUUUAAGGAACAUGAGCAUAUGAGCUGACAAAUCAAUUGAUCUAUUUCAGAAAAAGUUUCUGUGUUUUGACAAAUGAAAUGAUUCAGCUAAUAUACUGUAGAGUAUUUGCAAAAGAAUUGUUCAAUGGGGAAUAUAUCAGCUUGGUUGAUGCUUUGGGAACUAAGCAUAAAGCUUUUAAUGGUGUUAAUUAUCCGUCUGUACCAAGCCCUUUAUUUACUUCGGUAACAUUGGAGGAAUAUGAUUUCAGUAUCAAGUCUAUGCAAUAGUUUGUUCAAUUUGAUUCAACUGUUUAAAGGAUGAGCUUAUGAGCUUACGGGUCCAUUGAACAGUUAGCUUAUGAGCUUUUUUAUAUAUUCACGUUUGUCCCAAUCUGAUAUUUGUGGCCAUUUGUACAUGGUUCAGAAUAAUAUUCUUCCUCGGGAAUCUUUGUAGAGUAUUCAAGGCAGCGAGAACUAAGUCACCCAUAACAAUCAAAACACAAAUUAGUAGACAAUUGAGAGG
Molecule: long non-coding RNA, 1999 nt
Filed under: Fragaria vesca (wild strawberry)
Lineage: Eukaryota; Viridiplantae; Streptophyta; Magnoliopsida; Rosales; Rosaceae
Description: long non-coding RNA (FVES_LNC001239)
Source: RNAcentral